UAGAGUUUGAUCAUGGCUCAGAGCGAACGCUGGCGGCAGGCCUAAUACAUGCAAGUCGAACGCUCGUAGCAAUACGAGAGAGGCAGACGGGUGAGUAACACGUGGGAACCUUCCCUUUGGUUCGGAAUAGCUCAGGGAAACUUGAGGUAAUACCGGAUAAGCCCUUGCGGGGAAAGAUUUAUCGCCGAAGGAUGGGCCCGCGUCGGAUUAGCUAGUUGGUGGGGUAACGGCCUACCAAGGCGACGAUCCGUAGCUGGUCUGAGAGGAUGAUCAGCCACACUGGGACUGAGACACGGCCCAGACUCCUACGGGAGGCAGCAGUAGGGAAUCUUGGACAAUGGGCGCAAGCCUGAUCCAGCCAUGCCGCGUGAGUGAAGAAGGCCUUAGGGUUGUAAAGCUCUUUUGCCAGGGACGAUAAUGACGGUACCUGGAGAAUAAGCCCCGGCAAACUUCGUGCCAGCAGCCGCGGUAAUGCCCA
This 478-nucleotide ribosomal RNA is filed under the name uncultured bacterium. RNAcentral's name for it is "bacterial SSU rRNA". It matches the Rfam family "Bacterial small subunit ribosomal RNA", at positions 1 to 529 of the family's 1533-position model. The record is from RNAcentral.